AACAAGCAAUACAUCCAAGUUGCUCAGCUAUAGUUGUGUUCCUGGUGGUCAUUAUCGGGAGGUCGUUAACAAUAAUCAAGUCCAAGAUAUGCAAGUGAUGAUGUCAAAGAAACAGAUGAAUAUAUUGGUCUGGGGUAUAGUUCAGGGUGAAGAAAUAAACUUGGCAGUUAUGAAUUUAUAGAUGAAACCUAGUCUUGGACUAUACGAUAUUAUCUAAGCAAAGAUUGUAGAUGGAGAGUUGGGCUAUGAUAACUUCCAACAUUUCAUAGUUGAGCAGAGGAGGAGGAAGAACCAGCAAGAGACUGAGAAGUAGUAGUCUGUGAGGUAAGAAGGUGAUGUCAUAGAAGUCAAGAGCAGAAAGUUUUACAAUUAGAAGAAAGUGGUCAGCUAUAGCAAAUGCUUCACAGAAGUAGUGAGGAUACAGAAUUGAUCAGAGAUAGUCAUUAGAGCCUUCAGAAAGAGCAGCUUUGGAGUGAGACAGAAAGACUAUAUUGAAUUUAUUGACGAACAAAAGAUCUACAAAUGGAGACAACUCUUGAGUUGCAACCCAAUUUCAAAAACUAAAAACGUGAAGAAUGGGAACUUGGUAAAAAAAAAACCUGCAAAUCUACCAAGGGAGAAAAAGUAUUUAUAGUAUGAAAUAAAUAUGUUGCACCUAAAGAGAGCAGCAGCUUAAUCUUUCUAUGUGAAAAAAUACACUUGUCCCAUGAUCCUCCACAAGGCAGGAGAUGGAGGAAAUAUUGCAGGAGUCUCUUUGCUGAAGUCUUUGUUAACAGCAUGACCAUGGAUGGACAGUGACUGGCAUUUAAUUUUGACAUGAGGAGGGAGGAGAAGCCAGCAAUACUCAGUGCCUCUAUUAAAGUGAAGGGAAAGACACACAGAGUCUUUUCUUGCUGCCACUUGUGUAGCUGGGAAUGGGUUGUGGUAAAGUCAAUAAAAUUCUUCAACAUCCUUCAAUAACAAUGAUUCUAGUCCUUCUGAAUGGUUCAAAUUCUAUGUUGAUACUUAUGUUCUCUAGUACAUUAUUCUCU
RNAcentral lists this long non-coding RNA (1031 nucleotides) under Homo sapiens (human). RNAcentral's name for it is "HSALNT0293820". Lineage: Eukaryota; Metazoa; Chordata; Mammalia; Primates; Hominidae. The record is from RNAcentral.